This 251-nucleotide ribosomal RNA is filed under the name uncultured prokaryote. RNAcentral describes it as "partial 16S ribosomal RNA". It matches the Rfam family "Bacterial small subunit ribosomal RNA", at positions 524 to 774 of the family's 1533-position model. The record is from RNAcentral.
UACGUAGGGUGCAAGCGUUGUCCGGAAUUACUGGGCGUAAAGCGCACGUAGGCGGCUUUGUAAGUUAGAGGUGAAAGCCCGGAGCUCAACUCCGGAACUGCCUUUAAGACUGCAUCGCUUGAAUCCGGGAGAGGUGAGUGGAAUUCCGAGUGUAGAGGUGAAAUUCGUAGAUAUUCGGAAGAACACCAGUGGCGAAGGCGGCUCACUGGACCGGUAUUGACGCUGAGGUGCGAAAGCGUGGGGAGCAAACA